UCUUUGAUUACUCAAGACAGGUGGGUCAGGCACCUUUCUGCAAUGCUAUAGGUACACCUGAGCUUGAUUUGGGGCUAAAGAAUGGGUUAAGUGACUUCUCACGGUCUAUUAAACUUCUCUUUUUCUGCAGUUCUUUGAUGGUGAGGAGGGAUUAUGCUUUCUUGGUCUCUCUGCUAGAGGCUAUUGCUCAUUCUAGUAUCAAAUAAUUUUGCUGAGUUUUUGUCUGUGAGGGGCUGUGCGUCUGUAGCUCUCUUCUGCACAGAGAUGGGCACACAGCGACCCUGUUUUAAAUCACCCUCCAGCGCUGUAUGAAACAACUCUAAGCACCAGCUGGAAAUAGUCAGCUCACUUACAGACUCAACCUGCGUUAUCACCAGUGAUGCUGUAUUGGGGGACCAAAGGCACUGAAAUGUCUCUGAAAUGCUACAGCUGCUCUGCUCAAGGGGGAGUCCCAAUUGAUGAGGGAUGUCCCCGGUGCCAAACCAUGGUGCAGUACGGACACCUUGGGCAGCAGUAGAUGUGGUCACAUUCUGGGGCUCGGCAGGUUUUAAACUUCUUCCCAGCCUUGUAGAGCAGCUUGGGGGUCCCAGAGCCUCCCCUGCACAGAAAGGGAUCCACCUUCAGACCAUGGAUUUAGAUGGGAGUGUUAAGCGAACGGCCCGGUGACUUUUACGUCUGGGUACUCUAUGGAGGGUAAUGACUUGAUAAUAAGGACGUAGGCUGCUGAAAAUAGCAAGAGCACUAAAUGUAUGACCUCUCAAACAGUGAGUUUGUGGUAUGUUGGUUUAGAUGUGCUUGGGUUGCUGGAAGCCACGGGUUCUCUACCUUGCAAUAAAAUGGAGCAAUAGUGAGUUUGGCUUUAGAUCUCGAUCUGAAUGCCCCUACAGCUACAUAGUGUUCGGGGACUUUCAUAUCAAUAAAAAUCACUGGGUUCCUUCAGUCCCAAAUCAUGAUGGGGCAACUGAAAGGUGAUUUUUUUUUUUCUUUUUUAAACCAUAUUGCUUAUGAAAUUUUAAAUGCUUCACAUUGCAGAAUGAAUUUCUUUGCUUACUUGCUGUGAUUACACAAAGCUCUGCAGGAAGAUGUGCUGUAACUACAAUGUCAUUAAAAACAUUUUCUGUUGGUGGGUUUGUUCUUUCCUUCACGAGAAUAUCUAAUUCUCACUGAUGCUAAUGGGAAUUGUAUUUCUUUGGAGGACAUGCAGAUUAACACUGAGAUGAUUCCCUGGCCUGGGCAAACUCAGUAAAACAAUAAGAAAAGGAAUUUUCGGUAAAUAAGCAUCUGCCUCACAGUAAGUUCUGUGAAAACUCAUCGUCUCAUAUAUCCAGCUCUUUCUUGUAGUUCAGAUCAUACCAUGAAAGCAAGUUAAAUUACCCAACAGGGAAUGUGUUUCACAGAUAAGUUCUGCAAGACAGCAGAGCAUACACCAG
Long non-coding RNA from Columba livia (rock pigeon), 1430 nucleotides. RefSeq lists it as uncharacterized. The record is from RefSeq and is a predicted model, not a curated record. The transcript is spliced from 4 exons. NCBI's taxonomy places the organism in Eukaryota, Metazoa, Chordata, Aves, Columbiformes, Columbidae.